This 756-nucleotide ribosomal RNA is filed under the name Bacillus sp. (in: firmicutes). RNAcentral describes it as "bacterial SSU rRNA". It matches the Rfam family "Bacterial small subunit ribosomal RNA", at positions 75 to 814 of the family's 1533-position model. Lineage: Bacteria; Bacillati; Bacillota; Bacilli; Caryophanales; Bacillaceae. The record is from RNAcentral.
GGAGCUUGCUCUCUUUUGGUCUAGCGGCGGACGGGUGAGUAACACGUGGGCAACCUGCCUAUAAGACUGGGAUAACUUCGGGAAACCGGAGCUAAUACCGGAUAAUCCUUUUCCUCUCAUGAGGGAAAGCUGAAAGACGGUGUAAGCUGUCACUUAUAGAUGGGCCCGCGGCGCAUUAGCUAGUUGGUGAGGUAACGGCUCACCAAGGCGACGAUGCGUAGCCGACCUGAGAGGGUGAUCGGCCACACUGGGACUGAGACACGGCCCAGACUCCUACGGGAGGCAGCAGUAGGGAAUCUUCCGCAAUGGACGAAAGUCUGACGGAGCAACGCCGCGUGAACGAUGAAGGCCUUCGGGUCGUAAAGUUCUGUUGUUAGGGAAGAACAAGUACCGGAGUAACUGCCGGUACCUUGACGGUACCUAACCAGAAAGCCACGGCUAACUACGUGCCAGCAGCCGCGGUAAUACGUAGGUGGCAAGCGUUGUCCGGAAUUAUUGGGCGUAAAGCGCGCGCAGGCGGUUCCUUAAGUCUGAUGUGAAAGCCCCCGGCUCAACCGGGGAGGGUCAUUGGAAACUGGGGAACUUGAGUACUGAAGAGGAAAGCGGAAUUCCACGUGUAGCGGUGAAAUGCGUAGAGAUGUGGAGGAACACCAGUGGCGAAGGCGGCUUUCUGGUCAGUAACUGACGCUGAGGCGCGAAAGCGUGGGGAGCAAACAGGAUUAGAUACCCUGGUAGUCCACGCCGUAAACGAUGAGU